Molecule: non-coding RNA, 894 nt
Organism: Chlorocebus sabaeus (green monkey)
Lineage: Eukaryota; Metazoa; Chordata; Mammalia; Primates; Cercopithecidae
Source: RefSeq, a predicted model, not a curated record
CACUCCACUGUAUUACAGGUUGGGUGACAGAAUGAGACUCUGUCUGAAAAAACUACAACAACAACAACAACAACAACAAACUGAAUGGAGUUUAGUUAUGAAGGACCUUGUAUGACAUAUGAGGAGUUUUCAGUUCAUCUAUUAAAAAAUGUGAGACCAUGGAAGAGUUUUAAGCAAGAGAAUGACAAGGCAAAAUUUUUGGUCUAGAAAGAUCUUUCUUGCCGCAGUGUGGACCAAAGCCUCGGAGAAAGACUUCAAAAAGGAAAACGCAUUAAUAGAAUGUAGAAAUGAUUAAGAAAGCUCUUCCACGAGUUCACCAAUGGAAAUAACAUCAAGAGUUUUUCAUCUUCUUAGUGAGCAAAGGUAUGGAUAUUCAGUGUGUGAGCUUCAAGAGUAUCUAAGGGAGGUGAUAACGUGGUUGAGAAUAUACCAGAGACUACAAACUGUCUGUGCAUCCCAGAGGAACAGGAAGCUCAUGCAGGUGAAAAGACUGGAGGAGGAGGUAUGCUCAUGAUACCCAGGAAGCCCACCUCCCACUUCUUUGGUCAUCAGAAGUAAGACAAAGGACAAUUAAAUGAGUGGUUAGUAGUUGUUUAGAGAAAAGAGAAUUUUCACUUCAUAUGCUAGUCAUUGAUAAUAUUUGCCAUUGUGGUUGCUGUUAAGUAAGUUUCUUCCUGCAGGCCUGUGAGAAGGCAUAGUACAUGAAAGUGGCAGUGCUUUCAACCUGAUGAUUAUUAUACAGUAUGGACUUUUAUUAUAUAACGAGCAAUACUUAUAUUUUGUUAUUCACUUAUUUUUUACUAUACACUUAUACAUAUGCAGACACAGUAAUAAACAUCUAAGUGGUACAAGUAGGUACAAAACCAAAAAUAAAAGUCUUUGCCUUCUAACUUC